Molecule: non-coding RNA, 112 nt
Organism: Acanthosepion pharaonis
Lineage: Eukaryota; Metazoa; Mollusca; Cephalopoda; Sepiida; Sepiidae
Source: the annotation of a GenBank genome assembly
UAUGGCCAUAUCAAAUUGAAAUGCCACUUCUCGUCCGAUCCCCAAAGUUAAGCAAUGUCGAUUUUGCUCAGCACCGAGAUGGGUGACGGCUUGGGAAUAUUAGACGCUGUAA